UACGUAGGGUGCGAGCGUUAAUCGGAAUUACUGGGCGUAAAGCGUGCGUAGGCGGUUCGUCAAGUCUGAUGUAAAAGCCCAGGGCUCAACCCUGGAAAGCCGGUGGAUACUGUCGGGCUAGAGUCCGGAAGAGGCGAGUGGAAUUCCUGGUGUAGCGGUGGAAUGCGCAGAUAUCAGGAGGAACACCGAUAGCGAAGGCAGCUCGCUGGGACGGUACUGACGCUGAGGCGCGAAAGCGUGGGGAGCGAACAGG
This 253-nucleotide ribosomal RNA is filed under the name uncultured bacterium. RNAcentral describes it as "partial 16S ribosomal RNA". It matches the Rfam family "Bacterial small subunit ribosomal RNA", at positions 524 to 776 of the family's 1533-position model. The record is from RNAcentral.